UAAUGCCGUAACCAUAUUUAUGCGUGAUGAGCAGCCACGAGAUCCAAUCGUUAGAUCAUGUGAACUCAUCGCCCUUCUGUGAGAUUUACCCUGACACUGACAUCUACCAGUGGAACGCGGUGGACGUGGAGAAUGCUGAAGGAUUCCUCGAGCGCGGUCUAGUCACCAACACUGUGAACGGCGGUCUGUUAAUAGAUUUCGGCGUUGCCGAUCGACGCUCGCAGUUGAUCGAGUUAGAAAGGGCGCUGCACUGUUGCUGCUCCGGGCACGAGUUUUGCGCCGCUACCCACUCGUGGGGCCUUGACUACCACUGGGCGUCGCGCAACGAGGAGCCCCUGGGCGGCUUUGAGGUACUGACGCGGACGGCUGCCGAUCGCCCGUGGAUGUGGUACCCGGCGGUGUUCUUAGCGCGCCGGAUCUUGUGGAAUAAAUAUGCCUACAUUGGAAUCCGGUUGGGUGAGAACGUCGUGGCGAAAUUCGUCAGCCCCCUCGUGGUGCGGUUGGCGCAGCGCUAUCGGGGGGAACGCGCUGUUGACGCAAAGGACUACGUCACGCAGGUGUGCGCCCUACCGCGAGAGUACCUUGAGGGGCGGACAGUGGAGCCGGAGUUGUGGAGCAUCUGGGUGGACGCGCUGAAGUCGGCCUAUGCCAGCAUCUUGUACCCCAUCGGUGUGAACAACGAGUGCCUAUUGUAUCUUCAGGAUGGAAUUGGGCCGUCAAAGUUGACGCCAAUAUUAACGGAAGUGCUGAAUCGACUGAAUUUGAUGGCCAAAUCGGAGCUGACGCGCCGGCUGCAGGCCGGCUGGACCUUCGCCGACGGCAAGUGGAUUCCAGAGAACGUCGAGCUAAGUACUCGAGGUCCUCUGUAUCCCACAACGGCUCAGCCAUCCAGCCCGCUGGCCGACGCAUUCCCACCGGAGCUCUUCCAAGAGAUUCUCUCCUGUUUCGGUACGAAUGAGCGGCCAUUCUACCGCCGCGUCAGCCCGUUGUGGAACGAGCUUUUCCACCAGGAUGACAUCCGCCAACGCCUGACGCUGAACUUCCGCGACGCCGGCACGGCAGCCUAUUCGAUGGGCAUGUCCAUCAUUAAGCAUUUAACCGCCGCCACAGAGUUGGUCGUGAUUAACAACGCCAGACAAAGCAUGACAAUGCAGGAGUUCGGGGACUGCAUGCUGCUGAUCGGCGCUGUUUACAAGCAGAGCGGCAACAGCCUGCAAAAGCUGCAGGUGAUGGCGUAUAGGUGCCGUUGGGAUCUGGGAGAUGAACGCUUCUCCUCGGAAGUAGAGUUGUUGGCCAGGACGUGUGUCGACGUGGCAGCCGCUGUGGAGUCCAUACAGUGGCGCAACUGUCUGUUUUCCGGUUGUGGUCCCCUACGCGACGAUAAUACUGUCGCGCUUGAUGUCACCGCCACCCACGAGACGUUGAGAGAGAUGGAAACGGAUUUGCGUGCACUUCUGAUGCGGCAGCUGUGGUAUAUUAAUCGCCCGCCGAUCCCUCUCCGAUGGUACCAUGCGUUGUAGUGAUGCGGGGCUACCGACACUGGAACCUUCCAAAUGGCCACAGCCCUCCCACUGGAACUCACGCGAGAACUACUUCCCCGCUUGGCCAUGAACCAGCGGCCGUUCUAGCGCCGUGGCAGUCUGUUGUGAAAUGUCGUCAGACAGGACGAGUUGGGGCUAUCUCAUGAUAAAUUUCGACAAUCCUAGCACAUCAGCCUGCUCUAUGGGCACGUGCAUCGGUCAGUAUCUAACCGCCGCCACGGUGAUGGUCAUAACUAACGUGAAACAACGCUGGACGCCGCAGAAUCUCAGCAACGAACUGGCGACGCCGAUCAGCAUAUCAACCGCCUGCGAAAGCUGCAGCGUAAUGACAUUCGCUCCCUUCGUCUUCGACUUCGGAAAGCUUUGACGGCUCCCAAUGACGCAUCGAUCCAGCUCUGAAUAUGACAAGACCACACAUGCAGGCAGAUUUUAUUCAGCUUUCUGACGUCCAAAUUGUCCAGCGUCCACUUAGCGGGAUGGUUGUCCGCAUCCCAUUCCGGACAGUGGUCUUCAUACACAUUCACAAGCUUUACAGUUGCAGAUACCUUGAUCAGGUUUUGGCAGGCAUCCCUGUAUGGCUGUGCAACCAACUUGGCCGUCCACUGUGCAAUACGCUCCACAUCAAGUGGCUGAUUCCGGUCCAAGUGUUCUGCGAGUAAUUACCAAAGCGCUUUUUUAGUGAGGCCGCUAGGAGAAAAAGCAGCGUGCGGAAUCCGAAACUUCAUUGUGGGAGUACUGAAGCUGUCGUCGUAGUUCAGCUGAAAAUCCUUCCAAAUCACACGACCGCAACAGGACGCCAGUUUGGAAUAUAAUUUCGCGCUGUUUUGGAAGUAAUGGCGAAGGCCCCACAUACCAUCGUGUUCGCGGGAAAGCGAUCGGCGGCAUAUAAUUAAUCGGUCAA
Paramacrobiotus metropolitanus is the source of this 2442-nucleotide RNA transcript. RefSeq lists it as uncharacterized. The transcript is spliced from 5 exons. The record is from RefSeq and is a predicted model, not a curated record. NCBI's taxonomy places the organism in Eukaryota, Metazoa, Tardigrada, Eutardigrada, Parachela, Macrobiotidae.